This 253-nucleotide ribosomal RNA is filed under the name uncultured bacterium. RNAcentral describes it as "partial 16S ribosomal RNA". It matches the Rfam family "Bacterial small subunit ribosomal RNA", at positions 524 to 776 of the family's 1533-position model. The record is from RNAcentral.
UACGUAGGUGGCGAGCGUUGUCCGGAAUUACUGGGUGUAAAGGGCGUGUAGGCGGGGAUGUAAGUCAGAUGUGAAAUUCCAGGGCUUAACUUUGGAGCUGCAUCUGAAACUAUGUUUCUUGAGUGCUGGAGAGGGAAGCGGAAUUCCUAGUGUAGCGGUGAAAUGCGUAGAUAUUAGGAGGAACACCAGUGGCGAAGGCGGCUUCCUGGACAGUAACUGACGCUGAGGCGCGAAAGCGUGGGGAGCAAACAGG